This 70-nucleotide transfer RNA is filed under the name Oryza meridionalis. It matches the Rfam family "tRNA". Rfam says of the family: Transfer RNA (tRNA) molecules are approximately 80 nucleotides in length. Their secondary structure includes four short double-helical elements and three loops (D, anti-codon, and T loops). Lineage: Eukaryota; Viridiplantae; Streptophyta; Magnoliopsida; Poales; Poaceae. The record is from Rfam by way of RNAcentral.
CGGGGUGUAGCUCAUAUGGUAGAGCGCUCGCUUCGCAUGCGAGAGGCACGGGGUUCGCCCCCCACCCCCC